This 1283-nucleotide long non-coding RNA is filed under the name Triticum aestivum (bread wheat). Its description in RNAcentral is "long non-coding RNA (TAES_LNC006349)". Lineage: Eukaryota; Viridiplantae; Streptophyta; Magnoliopsida; Poales; Poaceae. The record is from RNAcentral.
CACCAGUUUCGUCGGUCGAUUCACACCCAACUCCAUCCCCGCUUCUUCCCUCGAGCCAGCGAUAGCUGUUCUAUUCCAUCCCCGUUUAAUUUUGAGUACUGGAGUCCAAGGCGAGCGCAACUAUGGCAGGGAAUGAGGUACAUUUUCCACUCCAUUCAGUAAACAAUUCUAUUUCUGUCACGCUCACUUUGCAGUUAGAUUAUUAUUUACAAUCUAAGUUUGAGUAGGUGCGUGGGAUGAAUCCAUCAAUUAUUGUAUUUGGCCUGCUCUCCCAAGCUGCUGCCUCGAGGUCGCCAUACUUCGCAAAAAUCAUGACGGUGCUGCGUUGUGCUCACCAUGCCCAGAAAUUGGGGGUCACGAGGAGGAAGACAAUGGCACGCACGAGGAAAUUAGAGACGGCGGUGGCACCAAACAUUACUUGAGCCUGAUCGUUUUUUUUUUGCUAGCUUAGCGUUUUGCUUUCAUAGGUUUGGAGCUCUAAAUUUAAGCUUUUCGUCUGAAUCUUCAUUUGAUCCACAGGCUUCUGAUCGUUCUGAACAAAUGCUUCAACUCUUUGUUGUUUCAUUUGAUUUUUGGAAGUUCAUUAGAUUUUGGUAAGUUGUUUGAUUUCCCUUAAUCGAUUUCUGAAUCUCCUCCCUUCUUUAGUGGAGCUCCCUGCAAGUGUUGUUUUAAUUCAUGGUUAAAUUCUAUUUUGGUGUUGGCUGUUGAGAAUAUCAGAUGAGACAAGCAAUGGAAUGGACUGUGUGGACAAUCACAGGAAUGGUGUUCCGUGGAUAGGUCAUGUGUUGGAGAGGGAACGACACGUUGCAGCAGCGAGAGGUCUUGCCUCUUUUCUGCUGUUCUUGCUUCUCCCCUAUGAUUUUUUAGUUGGUUGUCUUGGAGAGGAAACGACAAGCUGCAGCAGCCAGAGUAGUAGGAGAAGCAGCUUCAACUCCCACGGCAUGUUCUACAUUUUUCUGCACUGAUGUAUUUGUUAUGGUCCAACUGAAUUAGUUUUGACUGCAUCUUAUUCUCUGUAGUCUCUGAGAUUUGUUCUCUAGUUCAAACUGUGCGUCAACUGUUCAAAUGAAUGUCUUAAUUAAAAGAACACUGUUUGAUGGAAUGCCAGAAAAGAAUGCACGUCUUUUUCCUGGCUAAAAAUUCGUUCAGAGUGUUCUGUUUUUUCUAUCUGGUAAAUUUCAUUGGCCUCAGAGUUGAUUCCCUCUUUUAAUUCAUUUGGUGUGGUUUUCUAAAUGAAGAAGCAGAACCAUUUUGGUUGUUAUUCACUACUGCUCCUCAUGGUC